Folsomia candida is the source of this 109-nucleotide transfer RNA. It matches the Rfam family "tRNA". Rfam says of the family: Transfer RNA (tRNA) molecules are approximately 80 nucleotides in length. Their secondary structure includes four short double-helical elements and three loops (D, anti-codon, and T loops). The record is from Rfam. Lineage: Eukaryota; Metazoa; Arthropoda; Collembola; Entomobryomorpha; Isotomidae.
GCAGUCUUGGCCGAGUGGUUAAGGCGACAGACUAGAAUUGGGAGGAUAAGGCUCGAAACUAGUUAUCUGUUGGGGUCUCCCCGCAUAGGUUCGAAUCCUGUAGACUGCG